This 206-nucleotide long non-coding RNA is filed under the name Lupinus angustifolius (narrow-leaved blue lupine). RNAcentral's name for it is "long non-coding RNA (LANG_LNC000436)". Lineage: Eukaryota; Viridiplantae; Streptophyta; Magnoliopsida; Fabales; Fabaceae. The record is from RNAcentral.
CCUUAUUUACUACAUUACUAUGAGUCCUUUUUUGUGUGUACAUAUAUCUCAAGUUUUUAUCUUUUCACUAACUUUCUCUCCGCCUAUUUUUUCCUUAUUCUUCUUCAACAUUAAGGUUUAGAAGCAAACGAAGAGUUGCAAAGUGUCAUAGAGGUCAUGGAAGCUCCAAGAGACAGAAGAUAUAAAUCACCUACCAAUAGACCAAC